GACGAACGCUGGCGGCGUGCCUAACACAUGCAAGUCGAGCGGGGUUGAAGCGAGAGGUAACUCGAACUUCUACCUAACGGCGGACGGGUGAGUAACGCGUGGGCAACCUGCCUCAAGGUCUGGGAUAACAGCCCGAAAGGGCUGCUAAUACCGGGUAUGCUUGUGGCCUCGCAUGGGGCUACGAGCAAAGGGGAAACCCGCCUUGAGAUGGGCCCGCGUCCCAUCAGCUAGUUGGUGAGGUAACAGCUCACCAAGGCGACGACGGGUAGCCGGCCUGAGAGGGUGACCGGCCACACUGGGACUGAGACACGGCCCAGACUCCUACGGGGGGCAGCAGUGGGGGAUCUUGCACAAUGGGCGAAAGCCUGAUGCAGCGACGCCGCGUGAGCGAAGAAGGCCUUCGGGUUGUAAAGCUCUGUCUGGAGGGACGAAGGAAGUGACGGUACCUCCGGAGGAAGCCACGGCUAACUACGUG
This 475-nucleotide ribosomal RNA is filed under the name uncultured bacterium. RNAcentral describes it as "bacterial SSU rRNA". It matches the Rfam family "Bacterial small subunit ribosomal RNA", at positions 28 to 507 of the family's 1533-position model. The record is from RNAcentral.